AUCCUCAGGUUCAUAAGCGUGAUGAUUGGGUGCUCAUGCUCCGUGCAUGACAUGUGCCUCCUUUGAAUCUUGUUACGACAUUACCCAUCUGACA
Molecule: small nucleolar RNA, 94 nt
Filed under: Cavia porcellus (domestic guinea pig)
Lineage: Eukaryota; Metazoa; Chordata; Mammalia; Rodentia; Caviidae
Description: Small nucleolar RNA U13
Rfam family: Small nucleolar RNA U13
Source: Rfam by way of RNAcentral